GGGGUAGAUGGUGAUGGGUCUCUAGCUGGGGGGGUAUGAUGGGGUAAUUAGAUCUCUAGCUACAGGGGGUAGAUGGGGGAUAGUGUGGACGUCUAGCUGAGGUGUUAGAUGGGUAGUGGAGUCUAGCUGGGGUUAGAUGGGGGUAGGUAUUUCUAGCUGGGGGUAGAUGGGGGGUAAUUAGAUCUAGCUGGGGGUAGGUAAGUAGCUCCGGAGGGUGCGCGGUCUCGGAGCCAGUGAUGGGGUGCGGGGUGUCCGGGGCUCCGUCAGUAGAAUAACGGAGAGGGUGCGGGAGCGCGCACACCCACACACAGAGCGCGGGCACGGCACCGGCUGCGUCACUCACUGCGUCACCGCUCACCGCCACUUCCGGCCAG
Non-coding RNA from Pelobates cultripes (western spadefoot toad), 374 nucleotides. The record is from the annotation of a GenBank genome assembly. Lineage: Eukaryota; Metazoa; Chordata; Amphibia; Anura; Pelobatidae.